Dama dama (fallow deer) is the source of this 222-nucleotide long non-coding RNA. RefSeq lists it as uncharacterized. The transcript has 3 exons. NCBI's taxonomy places the organism in Eukaryota, Metazoa, Chordata, Mammalia, Artiodactyla, Cervidae. The record is from RefSeq and is a predicted model, not a curated record.
CAGGGAGCCAGCACGCCCAGACUGCCCACCACCCACCUCUGCGUCGGCCCGCUCUCCCCAGAAGGAACAAUUCUGAAUUAGGCUGUUUCCAUCCCACUGCUCCAGGCUCUGCCGGUCCAGCUAAGCGCGGUGCCCCAGGGCAAGGUGUCGGGAGUCAGCUGUCUCUGCCCACCCCGGGGCGUUGCUUCUCCAGGUCUGAGUCUCUUCCUGCCUGGAAAGCCA